RNAcentral lists this ribosomal RNA (1325 nucleotides) under Tricheilostoma bicolor (two-colored blind snake). RNAcentral describes it as "partial 16S ribosomal RNA". It matches the Rfam family "Bacterial large subunit ribosomal RNA", at positions 176 to 2594 of the family's 2925-position model. Lineage: Eukaryota; Metazoa; Chordata; Lepidosauria; Squamata; Leptotyphlopidae. The record is from RNAcentral.
ACCGAAAAUCUAGACCAACCACACAAGCAAACAACCAGCAAACAAUAAAACAAAACAUUUGACACAAUUAGUAAAGGAGAUUAAACAUUUAAACCGGCACAAUAGAAAGAGUACCGCAAGGGAAAGAUGAACAAACCUCAAGUAAAAAAAAGAAAAGAUAAAACCUUGUACCUUUCGCAUCAUGGUUUAGCAAGACAUACACAAGCAAGAAGACCACGUUUGACACCCCGAAACCAAGCGAGCUACUUUUAAGCAGCAACACAUUAGAGCAAACCCCCCUCUGUAGCAAAAGAGCGGGAAGACUAAAAAGUAGAGGUGAAAAGCCAACCGAGCUCGGUGAUAGCUGGUUGCUUAAUAACGAAUGUAAGUUCAACCUUAACUAUAAAUCGUAAAUAACCAAACCUAGUUCAGGAAAAUCAUUAGGGGUACAGCCCUAAUGAGACAGGAUACAACCUGCAUCUGAGGAUAAAUCAAAAAUAGCCCCCAUCCGUAGGCCUUAAAGCAGCCACCAAUAAAAACAGCGUCAAAGCACAAACACGCAACUAAUUCAAAACAAUAUCAUUAACCCCAGCAUACCACAAAGCAACCCCAUACAUAUGGAGAAUCCAAUGCUAAAACUACUAACAAGACGAAAACCUCCAAACAUGUUCCUCCGUCAGAAAUAGACUAACCACUGACAGUUACCGGACCAAAACAAAAACGCACAGAACCAAACAAACCGUGAACCCAACACAGGCAUGUACACCACAGAGGAAAGAUAAAAAGUUAUAAAAGGAACUCGGCAACCAAUGACUCCAACUGUUUACCAAAAACAUAACCUUUAGCCUAAAACAAGUAUUAAAGGCAUCGCCUGCCCAGUGAGAAAGUCUCUUCAACGGCCGCGGUACCCUAACCGUGCAAAGGUAGCAUAAUCACUUGUCUACUAAUUAUAGACUAGCAUGAAAGGCUGCAUGAGAGUCAAACUGUCUCUUAUAACCAAUCAGUGAAACUAAUCUCACAGUCAAAAAGCUGUGAUGCACCUAUAAGACGAGAAGACCCUGUGAAACUUCAAGAUUAGCCCAAACUUAAUUGGACACAUCUUUCAGUUGGGGCGACUUUGGAAAACAUUAAAACUUCCAAAACAUAGUGGGCCUUCCCCACACACAGGCCAACAAGCCACGCAUGAUCCAGUAUAUCUGAUAAAUGAACCAAGCUACUCCAGGGAUAACAGCGCUAUCUUCUUCAAGAGCCCAUAUCAAAAAGAAGGUUUACGACCUCGAUGUUGGAUCAGGGCACCCAAGCGGCGCAGCCACUACUAAAGGUUCGUUUGUUCAACGAUUAACAGC